This is a non-coding RNA of Danio rerio (zebrafish), 74 nucleotides long. The record is from Rfam. Lineage: Eukaryota; Metazoa; Chordata; Actinopteri; Cypriniformes; Danionidae.
GGUGCUGUGGCUUAGUUGGUCAAAGUGCCUGUCUAGUAAACAGGAGAUCCUGGGUUCAAAUCCCAGCAGUGCCU